GACAGGAAUUUCCUUCUUCCUUUCCUACUUCCCCCUCAACCAAGAGUUGGGAGAGUGGGAAGAAGGCGCCAAGUGCAAGCUGCUGGCGCUUGCAGCCCCCAGAGGCCUGAGAUCCGACCACAGGACCGCCCUGCCUGGACCACGGACCUGGUCGGCCUCCUGUUGAGGCGAGGUUGUGGAUGUCCCCGGACCCUAGUGCUCCCUGCUUCGGAUGAUGUAGGGCAGCAUCCACCUGAACGCACAUCACUACCAAGGCCAAGGUUUUGGAAGGAAGCCCUUCUCCUCUCCCAUCUCAAUAUUAGACCAUGGGACCCUGGGCCACGGGGCUCAGGCCGCCGACCCUGGAGCCCUGACCAGUGAACACAGCUGCCUGUCCUUUACCCUUGUGUCCAUCCAGGAGCGGCCUUCUGCCAGGGACCUGGUCGGCCUGCCUGUUGAGGCGAGGUUGUGGAUGUCCCCGGACCCUAGUGGUCCCUGCUUCGGAUGAUGUAGGGCAGCAUCCACCUGAACGCACAUCACUACCAAGGCCAAGGUUUUGGAAGGAAGCCCUUCUCCUCUCUGAUCUCAAUAUUAGACCAUGGGACCAUGGGCCACGGGGCUCUGGCCGCCGACCCUGGGGCCCUGACCAGUGAACACAGCUGCCUGUCCUUUACCCUUGUGUCCAUCCAGGAGCGGCGUUCUGCCAGGUUCUAUGUUGCCUGUCCUCAGUCCACUUGAAUCUGUUGAGAGAGCUGAGUCCUGUGUGUGCCUAGGCCCUGCCACAGGGACCUGGUCGGCCUGCCUGUUGAGGCGAGGUUGUGGAUGUCCCCGGACCCUAGUGCUCCCUGCUUCGGAUGAUGUAGGGCAGAUCCAUCUGAAUGCACUUCACCACGGAGGCCAAGGUUUUGGAAGGAAGCCCUUCUCCUCUCCCAUCUCAAGAUUAGACCAUGGGACGCUAGAAUAGGGGACUCAGGCUGCCGACCCUGGAGUCCUGACCAGUAUACACAGUUGUCUGCCCUUAUCCCUUGUGUCCACCUGGGAGCGGCCUUCUGCCAGGUGGGAACCCGGUGCUUGACCUAGGGUCCCAUUGAGUUGGGUGGUCUCCUCCCUUGUUUUCACACCUCCCUGUGUGCUCUCGGUUGUGGGACACCACCACCCCACCUCUCUAGCAUGUCUGGGGUUGCCCCAGCCAGCAGGGUGUCAACAGGUGUGAUCCACCUGCAGGAGAGAAUGAAAGGGAAAUGAAAGGGAUGGGGGAGACACGAAAGAAGACAACAAGACAGUGUGUUCUGAUCAAGCUGUAAGUAUUAUUCUCCUCAGCAAGGCUUAUAUAGCAUGGGAGAGGGAGGGGGCAGGUAGGAGGGAAGGGGUGCACGAUGUGCCAUUCGUGCAGGUGAAGGGGGACAUGCAAGUCGUGAGGGUGUUGUGCUAGGUGGUAAGGUCACUGGUCAGGGCCCAUUGUUCUGUUGCUAUGCUACCUGACCUGCCUGAGCUGUUCUUUAUCUUUGGGGGCAUCUGGUUGAGGGCAGGGGCUUGUUCUCUGGCCCAGCUAGUACUUUUCCAUGGUCCAUGUUUGGUCGCUGAUAUCUCCCCCUUCUCUGUGUAUAGCAAAACAAAGAAAGGAGGCCCAAAUGUUUUUGCCGUGACAGGAGAGGGGUGACAGAGGCUCUCUCCCUGAUAAGUUCCAUUGUUAACUGUCAGUCCAUGUAGGCAUCCCCACGUGCCCUGACGGAUGCUGGAACGAUGCAGUUUUUUACAGGGGGCGGGUUUGAAUUCGGGAGGAAAGAGUAUAGGGUCUGCAUAACCGCCAUGCAAUAAAGCAUGUCAUCCAAGGCACCCAAGAUGGUGGAGCACUUUGGUCUCCCUGCCUUCUGCAUUCCCAGCUGCACCCUCAAUCCCCUAUGCAGUGGGCUCCAGCUCCCAGGCACAGGUGCAUCCUCCCCUGGGCAGAGGGGCCUGUGCUGAUAUGGAGUCUUUAUCUGGUUCAUCGAGACCACGAUCAUGGAGAUCGAGGCGAUGGGAAUGAACCUGAAUUUGUUUUGCCUGAAGUUCGGCCAGCUGACCGCGCACAAAUCGAGUUAGUCAAGAGAAGUUUCAAGGGCCGAAUGUCAAGAGAAGAAUGAGGCCAACCAAGGGUCCCAGAAGGGAAGGCAGGAGGGUGGUUGGCCAGGGAGAUGCAGAGAACCAAUUUUGGAACCAGCCUAGCUCUUGAUCUCUUUCUUUUCUGCGCUUCUCUAAGCCUUCCCGGACCUUGGCCAUGCUAUCCCUUGCUACUCCUGUAUGAUCAGUAUAAAAUCAGCACUCUUCCUUAAGAGCGGCACACAGAGACCUCCUUGCUGUAAAAAGAGGAGGUUGAGCCCUCGGCGGUUUUGGAGGACCACCUCUGAAAGGGAGGUGAGGGAGGAUUCAAGGGCGGAAAUGCCUCGCUCAAGCUGCCCUAUAUCUUCAUCUAUGGAAAUUCUAAGCUCUGAAUAAUGUUGAUUAGAUAAAACCAGGGAAGCUAUGCCAGUACCGGCCCCUGCAGCCCCGGCCCCCAGGAGGACAGCCAGAGUGACUGCAGUCACGGGUUGGGGCAUCCUACGCUUUCCUCCCUCCAAUAAAUUUUGCAAUUGUGGGCAGUCUGACCCCACCCCCAGAGAAGAAAAAGAAAAUUUGUAAGUGGGAGAUAUAAACUGUAGUCAGGUUGUAUUCCUCCCAGUCCUUCUUGACUUGUGGGCAUUGGCAAAUGUUGAUCACGUGCCAUCACUGCCGGCAUGAUCUCCUGAAGCUUAUGAGAACCUUCUUAAUAGACAAAAUCUUAGACAUGUUAGCAAUGUAACAGUGGUGAACUUUAUCAGAGCAAAAUUAUGAGUCCUUGGAGCCUCAACAAAACAUCAGGAUAGCCAGAGAAUGAAAUCUGAAAUGUGUCAUUUACAUAUCUCCCAAGUCUCAUAUAUAUUUUGACAAAAAUUAAUAAAAUACAUUUAGAACAGAAUUAUUAGUUCUAAUCAUCUUUCUAUAAGUUUUGAUGAACAGUUCAUCAAAAGGAUCUGGAAUUGUAUCAAUUUAUUCAUAUUCAAGGCUCAGUAUUUAAGAAUCUAGAGGUAAAUAACAGCCUGUAUUUAGACUGGCAGCUUUAGAACGCCUUUGUCCUGCAGCUGCCAAUAUAUGGUGUGACCAGGCGAUCCAGGAUUCAUAAAGGCGGGUCAAUGUCCUAUAAAGACAUGUAUCUUCCUCCUGACAUUAUGAAAACAGCAGGACCUUGUUAAAUACCAGUGAGGAGAUCAUAGAGGCUUAGGUGUAACUUUGUGGCUUGACCUGGUGGUGAUGAGGAAUACCUGUAGUGAGGGAUAUGAAAAAUAAGUACCAAUUCUUAAGAACUCUUGAAGUAUAUGUAAGGCUGUUGUCUAUAUAUGGGCUCAAGGCAUUCCUAAAAUUAAAAAGCAGUGAAAGAAAUGGUGUAUAACUUCUUAUUUCAUAACCAUAAAUCAUAAGGACGUAAGCCUCGUGGGUGAUCUUCUAUAGGGAGAGAAUUUAUAAUUGUUGGACAGACAUAUGAAAAGGUGCCAGUAUGUCCUGUAGAGCUAUCUGCCAUUCUAUAGACUCACAAGUUUCAUAGUUUGAUAUGAAUAUAAUAUCAUCUGUACAAUAAAUGUAUUGUAAGAUAUAUGUAUAUACAUAUACAUGUAUACAAACAUAUAGGUUGGGGGACUGUGAGGAAGCUAUAAUUGACAGUUCUGAUAGUUAAUCUGCAUAUAUAAUGAGGAACUUUGUUCAAUGAAUGAGUCCUGGAUAGACAGAACUCGCAUUUUCUGCUCUGUAUGUCAACUUUGGCCUCCAUCAUGGUAGGGUGAGUAGGCAAAUUAAAAGCUAAAUCCUGACAAUCUUUAGGUUGAGGAGGAUGGUAAAGAAACAAUCUUGUAUAUCUAUGACGAUUUUUUUUUGAUUUUUGGGGAUGGCCCUGGGAGAUGGCAAGACAAGCUGUGAGACUUUCCUUGGCUUUAAUAAAUUUUAUUUAAUUUUUAAAGGAUCUGUAACAGUUUAUAAGCCUGAUUUUCCUAAAUAAAAAGAUAUUGGGGUGAUUUAAGGGCUGGUGGGGGACUUCAUAUGCCCAAUAUUUAAGUUUUUCCUCCACCAGACAGGUAGCAAUUAUAAUUUUUUCAGCAUUUAAAAGCCAUUGUUUGAUCCAGAUAGGAGCGUUAGAUUUUCCUGACCUUCUGGCUACAUUAUUAGCUUGACCUAGGCCUGUAAGAGACGAAGAAGUAAUAAUCGUCUUAAGUACUUGGCCAAUCUUUUUCAGAAAUAUAAGAAACAGCUAUGUUUAUGUCUAGCAAGCCAAUUAUCCCUGUAUUUUAAGUGUUUAGUUGUUUGGAAUAUUUAAUUUCCUGAACCCAGAAGGCCAUAUAGCUAGAAUCUACACCAGCAGCUCCCUUAGGCUCUGCCUUGUGUGAAUCUGAAUUGUACAAUGAUCUUAAUCUCUCCAGUAAAGACAGAAUCGUACAUCCCUAGGGCAACCUUGUACAGCCGAGGAGCUACGGCAUAUAAUUAGCCCCAGUGUCCCUUCUGAGGCGGUCCAUAGACUUUUGCAUUAAGGUAUACAUAAGUUUAUUUUUAAAGCCUAUAUAUCUAUCUCAGACCUCAAUAUCUAUCCAUAGAUCUAACUUAGGCAUACAUCCUCAGUAUCUCUGGGUUAUUUACUGAGAUUUAUGGAUCAUUUAUAACAUAUCUAGAUGUUCAUAUGUUAUAUUUCUCUGUUCCAAUGACUUGCAUUACACAUACAAUAAACUAUUUCUUAAUGUUCUUAAACAUUCUUUAUAUCUAAUCAUUCAUAUCCUUAUAAAAUCUUUACUUACAUCUGAAAGCAUUUUUGUAUUUAAUUCAUCAGGAGAUAUAGGUGAUUGAUUACUGAGAGCAGCCAAUGUGGUGAAUUCCUUUAAACAAAGGAACAGUCAAAGUUUAUUUUGAAAUCUGUUUGGCAAGAAUUUGGAUAGCAAGGCAAAUUACCUUUUAGGCCUGGUAAAUGGGAAUAUAAUCCAAAUGAUCUCAAAGCAUAGUUUGGACAAAAUCCUGGCAAUAAGGGGUAUGGCAGUUUUGUCCAAAACUUAAACAUUUUAAAUGCUAGGGGGCUAAGUAAUGAAUUGAUUAUAUGAAAUUUAGCAUACUUAGCAUGUAUAUAAAUAUGAUUUUGUAUACAUCAGAGAAUUUGAUCAUAAAAUGAUCAAGCUUUAAUUUGCAUCCUAAUAAUUAUCUCUAAUAACUUAUAGCUUAAGUACAACUUAUCCUUAACAGUUUACAGUUUAGGUUGGCGAAUCAGUCAAUAAGUUUUACUUCUUAAUUAUCUUUAACUAAAGUAAACUUAUUUACCAACUUAUAAGUUAGUUGUCUUUGUAAACUUAGAACUUAGGUUUUAUAUUAAAACAGUGUAGCUAGAGUUUUCCUGCCUGGCCCACAAUCAGGACAAAUCUCUCUCACCUGCCAGUCCCACAGCCGCUCAGACCCGACCAAGUAAACACAGAGACUUAUAUUGGUUACAAACUGUAUGGCCGUGGCAGGCUUCUUGCUAACUGUUCUUACAGCUUAAAUUAAUCCUUUUUUUUUUUUUGCUUUUUCGAGACAGGGUUUCUCUGUGUAGCUUUGCGCCUUUCCUGGAACUCGCUUUGGAGACCAGGCUGGCCUCGAACUCACAGAGAUCCUCCUGGCUCUGCCUCCCGAGUGCUGGGAUUAAAGGCGUGCCCCACCACCGCCCGGCAAAUUAAUCCAUUUCUAUAAAGCUAUACCUUGCCACGUGGCUCGUGGCUUACCGGCAUCUUCACAUGCUGUUUGUCAUCCUGGUGGCUGGCAGUGUCUCUGACUCAGCCUUCCACUUCCCAGCUUUAUUCUCCUCCUUGUCCCGCCUAUACUUCCUGCCUAGCCACUGGCCAAUCAGUGUUUUAUUUAUUGACCAAUCAGAGCAACACAUUUGCCAUACAGAACAUCCCACAGCAAAACAGAGGAGGAUUUUCUUUUCUUCUCUCUCUCUCUCUCUCUCUCUCUCUCUCUCUCUCUCUCUCUCUCUCUCUCUCUCUCUCUCUCUCUUUUUGUAGAAGCUGCAGCCGGUUUGUCCAGUCUGUAUCAAGCCAGACAGCCACCGGGAAUGGCAAGGUGAGGAGAAGGGCGGAAGUGAGCUGAGAUGCAGAUAGCAGAUAGUUAGGUUCAGAGAGAAGAAGGCAGAUGUUUAGGAUUCCAACCCCCAAACGUCUUUGGGGGUCAGAUGAAUCCAUAUAGGUUGUAGCAGGGCGUCCCCUAAACAGGACUUGUUUUUUUGAAAUGGGUCAACUGAAGUUCUUGUACUUGGCCAAGAUUUUUGUAAAUUACCAAGAACUUAAAAGUCAACCCAAAAAGAGGAAAGAGAGAGAAAAGGACACUUUUUUAGGAGAGCUGGGAGUUGCCAUUAGUUUUUAAAUCAGCACUGGCUGUGAGGCUUGUGUUAAUUUAAAUGAAGGCUGCUGGAGCAGAGCUCCUUGUUAGCUGCAGGGCAAAUUUAGGGCUCAAGUUAGCCCUUAGAUUCCAAUAGUUUUAGCAAAAAAGACUGUCUGUAGCAGGACGCUGCUGCUACUAUGGAGAACAUAGGGAACUUCAUUAGCUCUAGUUUACACUCUCAGGAGGUCUGGUAGUGUGAUAAUAUUGUGUUACCUCUUUGUAAGACCCUGAAUGAAGUAAGGGCAGGUUUCUCCCUAAAAGGGAGGGGUUAGAAUCUCUGCCGCUUAUCAUAGUCUGACGGUAAAUGAAUUUCAUAAGGUUGGCAGCUUUUAGGGGUCUCUUAAAUCUUUUUUUUAUAAACCUUUAGGAUAUCAUUAACAUCAAUCGUCCCUUCUUGGGGAAACCAGGGACAACAGUCGUCUAAGUGACUAAAGAAUUUGUUGAGGUCUUUUUUUUGCGAACCCUUAUCCCUCGUGUCUUGAGGGCCUCUUUAAUGCCCUUAAGGAAAAGGUCAUGGGAAGAACUUCCCCAUCCCAUGGUUAAGCCUAAGUUUAGACUAACCUCGUCCUUCCUGCUCUCCUCCGGAUCGUCAAGAAAGGGCGUCGAGUCGGGCGGUCUCAACGGACGAUCAGCAAAAAUAUCUCCACCAGAUGUCUGGACUUUCCUGGAGAAGGACGUUCAACUCCCAACGAGGUGAGGGUCGAGCCACCACGUUGGGCGCCAGUUGCCCUGGCCAGCGGGGUGUCAACGGGGGCGACCCACCUGCGGGAGAGAAUGAAAGGGAAAUGAAAGGGAUGGGGGAGACAUGAAAGAAGACAGCAAGACAGUGUGUUCUGAUCAAGCUGCAAAUUUUAUUCUUCUCAGCAAGGCUUAUAUAGCAUGGGAGGGGGAGGGGGCAGGAAGGAGGGAAGGGGUGCACGAUGUGCCAUUCGUGCAGGUGAAGGGGGACGUGCAAGUCGUGAGGGUGUUGUGCUAGGUGGUAAGGUCACUGGUCAGGGCCCAUUGUUCUUUGCUAUGCUACCUGACCUGCCUGACCUGUUCUUUAUCUUUGGGGUCAUCUGGUUUAGGGCAAGGGCUUGUUCUCUGGCCUAGCUAGUACUUUUCCAUGGUCCAUGUUUGGUCUCUGACACAGGGUCAUCCUGGGAGGCCCCUCUUGGCUGGCCACCUUGACCUGGAAGCUUGGGUCAGCAUACCUAAGGCCAUUCUGGCAGCUGUACUGGUCACCCUGGUGGAUGGAGUCUUGUAUACUGCUGCUGGAUCUCUGAAGCAUGCUGUGUGUGUGUGUGUGUGUGUGUGUGUGUGUGUGUGUGUGUGUGUGUGUCUGUGUGUGUGUGUGUGUGUGUGUCUGUGUUUGUAUGUGUGUGUGUAUCUGUGUGUGUGUGCACACAUGUGAAGGACCUCAUGUGGAGGUUCAAGGACAACUUUCCAGAGUCAGUUCUUUCCUUGCACCAUGGGACUUGGCGCUUACACUAUGGUUGUUGGGCUAGCAUAGCAAACUCCUUUACUUGCUAAGCUUUUUGUUGCCUUGUAUUUCUUCAUUUUUGUCAGUGUUAUGCUUUGUAGGGGUCAGGGGUUUUCAAAAGGGGACAUACAGGUCAGUGAUCAUUUCUGAAUUUAGUAAUAUUUUAAACGUCCAUCCCAAAGGUAAAUAACUUAGCUUCCGUGGUGUAGGAGACAGUUAAAAAUACGUAUGGAAUAAAAGACUCCAAUUUUCAGUCAAGGGUCAAGUCUCCUUUAGACUAAUUUUUAUGCAGUGUUAUUCUAAGUAACGUUUCCUCUGGGAGCAUGUUAGAAUUCUCUACUGCAGACUUACCCAGGAGUUUACAUUUGAACAUCAUUCUUCAGGGAUUCAUGUACAUACUCAGUAUUAAAGUACUGAUAUCUAAUUGUUAUAGAAUGAUAGUUGCUGAGGUCAUUUAAUGGAGAGGAGGCGUACCAUAAUUGUGACUUUCAUUGUGGCUGAUCAUCUCUUAAAGGAGAAAAACUGCUAAACCUGACUUGUAAACCCAAAUACCAUUAUUUAGAAUAAUUGUUACUGGUGAUAGAAGGCACCAUAAGUUAGUAUAAAUUCUUUUCGUUUUUGUUUAUACAGAAAAUAUUUAUACAAAGAUCAAGAUCGUUAUCCAUAAAAAGUUCACAUUUUAAGUGUAAGUUGAUCAUUAGAUCGUUUCCUAGGAUCCAUGUAAGGGUGAUGGGAAGUUUGGGGAAGAGUUUCUGUGUAAAAACCACAAGCUUAGGGCUGGUGGUGGGACUUGAGGGCCUAUGAGGUUAGGGGGCUCUGGGAACUGCAGAGAGUAGGAAGAGAAUGAAUGUGAGGUCCAAGGGAGCUGAUGGUUGGGAUGCUUGGCCCAUUGCAACUGGGCAACUUACUCCAUGAACUGGCCAAGAACGAUGGUCCUCCUAAACCUUACCUAAGCUGGUGUAUAAGGAAAAGACUUCAUACAGAGAGGUAAAGAGGAGCCAGGGAGUCUAGGGAUGACUUUGUCCUGCCACUAAAAGGUACAGGUGGGAGAAUAAUAGACUUCUGCCUCCAUCCAUAGAGCAGUAAUAGACAAUGCCUGCCAAGGCUGGGCGUUAGGCUCCUAGAACAGAGAGUUCUACAAUGCUUCCUAAGGGGACUACCUUUAUUCUGAAGCAAGAAUGAGAAGACGCAAAUGCAAGGACCCUAUUAAAAUGUAGAUCUUGCUGGUAAGCAAUCAAGAGAAGAGUAGCCACAAGAGUGCUGGUAGCAAGUGAAAACAAUGGAUAGUUCCUCCUUACAAACAAGAGCACCAAGCAGCUGAGAAAACCCCUCUUGAUGUUAGGAGAAACCCUCAAAGACCGUCCCUGCCUUAGAAAUCAUCUGAUGGAAUUUCACUCUGGGGCUCCUGGUUUCAGAGUCAGCACUCAGGCCAUGACAGAGAAGACUAGGUAGAACGGUAUGGUGGGAGAAGAUGUGACAGACGUGUUCCGGUCUUAUCAUAUCAGAAAGCAGAAAGGGGACCAGAAUCUGCGUAGGCUCUGUCCUUCAAAACCCACCCCUAGUGAUCCAUAUCCACCAGCUGGGAGACCCUGUCUUCCAAAUAUUCCCUGGCCUCCCAAAAUAGCAGUACUAUAUGGGAACCAAGUUUUUAAACAUAUGAGCCUGUCGGAAGCAACUUACAUCCAAGUCACAGCAUUCACAUUUAUUUAUAUCAGUGUGGAUGCAUACAUGUUUAUUCUAUAAUUUGUGUUAUCAUUCAAUAUGUCUGUGUUCAUUUUAUUGUGUAUAUUGCUGCAAGUUGAUAGAGACCUUUUUUUCUUCCUUUGGCAUACCUCCAUCCUUGUAGGUGUGUGUGUUGGGGGAUCAAUACUUCGGAGAAUGGUAUGUCAAUGUUUGGCAUGGUAAGGGGUUGUCACACCAUUUCUAAAGUGGCAUUCUUAUUUUGCAUCUCUAUUAGAAAUGGAUGUGUGUCCCUGUUGCUCUGUGUCUUAACAAGCAACUGAUACAAUUUUUUAAAAAAGAUGACCAUUUCUUUUCAUUUUUGUGUCCUAGUACUGGAAUUCAAGACCAGACGCUUGUAUAUGCAAGAUAUACUGUCUGAGUUUUGGUUUUGUUUGUCAAGUUGGAAAGAAGGAACAUUUGUUUAAGAACUGACUUUAUUAGAUAGCCUUUGGGCAUGUGUGUGGGACAUCUUGACUGCUGAUUGAUAGAGGAAAGGUCUAGCCCACUGUGAGUGGUCCCUUGCCUAGGUAGGUGGCCAUAGGUUAUAUAAGAAAGGUAGCAUAGUAAGGCAGAGCAGAAGCCAGUAAGCAACAUUCAUUCAUGAUCUCUGCUUCAGAUUCUGCCUCCAGAUUUCUGUCCUCAAAUUCCUGCCUUGACUUCCCUCCACAGUGGACUGUCACCUGUAAGCCAAAGAAACCCUUUCCCAGAAUUGUUUUGGUCUGUGCUUUGUCACAGCAGUAGAGAAACAAGCUACCACACUGGGAACAGUUUUGCCACUGAUCUCCAUGCCCUGCAUUGGCAUUUUGUUUUCUUGUUAUACAUUUUAUUCUUUAAGAGAAUAUUUAAAUUUAUAUUUUGAUCAUGAUUUCCCCAACCCACAAGUCCUUCCAAAUCCUCUGCCCUUCCCUACCCAUCCAAAUUCAAGUUCUUUCUCCAAACAAACAAACAAACAAAUAAAUAAAUAAACAAAAACCAAUUCUUAGAAAGUAUGUAGUUAUAGUUGGUUUCAAUUUUAUGGCUUUAUUUUGAGUAGAUAUUAAUUUUAGAUUGCCACUUUUUCUAACAUUUAUGCUGUAUUUUAUCAUCAUUAUUUCCACAAGUAUCUUAUUUUUAAACUUUUGUUUCAGUAGAGCUAAAGCUUACCAGAAAUUUGCUCUUAUUUAUAAAUCCCUUUAAUUUGUUAAAUGAAUCCUCUUGACGUACUUUAAGAAGGAAUUACUUUUUAAUGAGAGACAGAAAGUGAGUGGAUCAGGAUGGGAGGAAGAUUGGGAGAAAAAUGGGAGAAGUAGAGGGAGGGGAAAUCUUAAUCAGGAUAUAUUAUAUGAAAAAAAUGGUUUCAAUAAAAUAAAGGAAGGAAAAAAAGAAAAAAAAGACAACACACACAGAUGGGCUGAAACACUGAAGAGGCAAUGUUCCUAAAAUGAAUCCUAAUCACUUUAACGUCUGUCUCCAGUACUGUAUGGAUUCUUAAAAAUGGAUUGUAGUUGUAAGUUGGCCUUUCCCAGUGGAUCCUUCGGCAUUUAACUACUUCAGAAAAGAAAACAGAGGUACCUGUCUGAAACUGAAGGUCCCUUAGGAAGCUUGAGUUCAAAGUGAUUGCUACUGUGAUGGCGCUGACAUAUGGAACUGCAGAUAGGGAAACUUCCCUCGCUCCUCCCUUCCUGCUCUUGCCCCCUCACCUGGCCCUUCUGUCCUCAUGAUGUAUCCCAGAAUGUUACAGAGCAGCAAGGCAGCCCUACAGCAGCACCGGAUUGGGAGGUCAAGUCUCCUAUCCUCCAAGUCUAUGUGUCAAAUAAGCUUCUGCUCAAGUAGGUUUCUGUGUGUCUGUUUGUUCUUUGGGGACGCUUUCCCCUUUGUUUGUUGGUCCUAUUCUGAUGUGUUAGUUGUUGUUUUAGUUUAUCUUAUUAUCCCUUAGACGUGUUUGUUUUCUAAUGAGAGACAAGAAGGGGGUGGAUUGGAUGAGAGAGAGGUGGGAAGAAACUGGGAGGAUUAUGUAGACGAAUUUCUAAGUGGUCUUAUUAAAUAAAGAACAUGGAGCCAAAUACAGGGGUGAAAGCCUUAGAGAUCAGGUAAAUAGUGAGAGUCACCAACCACCUUACCUCACCAGAUCUGUAGCUUCCAAAAUGCCAUGACUUCCUGUCUACCCAAGCUUUUAUUGCCUUGCUGUUCUGCCCUCUCAUUGACUCAGCCCAGCUAGCUCACUUCCUUGUUACUGCCUAUCUGUACAGACCUCCAGGGUCUCUAUGGUUGGUACUGGGAUUAAAGACCUGUGCCACCACACUUGGCUCUGUUCCCUAGCGUGACCUUGAACACACAGAGACCCUGCCUGCCAAGUGAUCAGGUUAAGGGCCUGUGCUACCACUGCCUGAUUUUUGUGUUUUCUUAAAAUGGCUUGUUAUUUCCUGUGAUCUCCAGGCAAACUUUAUUUGUUAGCAUACAAAAAAAAAAUCACCACUUUUCAGCACAAAUAAAAUAUCACUACAGAAUUAGAGGGAGGAGAAACCUUAAUCAGGAUAUAUUAUGUGAGAAAAAGAUCCAAUUUCAAUAAAUGGGAAAUAUAUACAUAUAUUUAUGGGGAAAAAGAAGGAUAUUCUUUGGAUUCAUGUAUAACUAAAAAUAUUUGACUUUCUGUUUAAGCAACACUUGCAACAUAUUGUCUUUUAAAGAUUGCCUUGUUCAUUAAUGAUUAGUGCUUCUAGACGAAGAUUUGAGGUCAAUAUGAUCUCUUUCUAAGUGUAUGAUUUUGGUCGGUUUCAACAUCUAUCCUUUUGUGCCUUGUAAGUCAAUACAUUUAUUAUUCAGUAUUAUUUUUCAUAGCGUGCCAUGUGUUUCUUGCUUUCCUUCUCUUUAGAAAUUCUCUCUUCACUAUUUCAUAAUUUCAGCUACCCUCUGAUAUUUAUUAAACUUAGGAAGUCUUCACUAGAUGUGUUGCAUACUCUAGACUUGUUAUGGACAAGGCGAAGAUAGCAAUCUAUUUGCCCUUUUGUCUAUGCUUGUUCUCUGGAGCCAGAGAUAUCUAUAUAUCUUCUCUUGUUGCAGGAUAUUCGAUCACACU
Molecule: RNA transcript, 12656 nt
Organism: Peromyscus californicus insignis
Lineage: Eukaryota; Metazoa; Chordata; Mammalia; Rodentia; Cricetidae
Gene name: homeobox protein Rhox13-like
Exons: 5
Source: RefSeq, a predicted model, not a curated record